RNAcentral lists this ribosomal RNA (493 nucleotides) under uncultured bacterium. Its description in RNAcentral is "partial 16S ribosomal RNA". It matches the Rfam family "Bacterial small subunit ribosomal RNA", at positions 29 to 523 of the family's 1533-position model. The record is from RNAcentral.
AUUGAGCGCUGGCGGCAUACUUUACACAUGCAAGUCGAACGGUAACAGGUUAAGCUGACGAGUGGCGAACGGGUGAGUAAUGCAUCGGAACGUGCCCGAUCGUGGGGGAUAACGCAGCGAAAGCUGCGCUAAUACCGCAUACGAUCUGAGGAUGAAAGCGGGGGACCGUAAGGCCUCGCGCGAUCGGAGCGGCCGAUGUCAGAUUAGGUAGUUGGUGGGGUAAAGGCCUACCAAGCCGACGAUCUGUAGCUGGUCUGAGAGGACGACCAGCCACACUGGGACUGAGACACGGCCCAGACUCCUACGGGAGGCAGCAGUGGGGAAUUUUGGACGAUGGGCGCAAGCCUGAUCCAGCAAUGCCGCGUGCAGGAAGAAGGCCUUCGGGUUGUAAACUGCUUUUGUACGGAGCGAAAAGGCUCUCUCUAAUACAGGGGGCUCAUGACGGUACCGUAAGAAUAAGCACCGGCUAACUACGUGCCAGCCGCCGCAGUAA